AUGGUCCACCGCCCGUUCAUCCGCAAGGCCAUCAAUAAUGUGUUCUACCGCUUCAUCUUUGAGACCGAGCGCCACAAUGGCAUUGGCGAGCUGCUUGAGAUUCUCGGCAGCAUAAUUAAUGGCUUUGCCCUGCCUAUGAAGGAGGAGCACAAGCUGUUCCUCAGCCGUGCGCUCAUCCCGCUGCACAAGCCCAAGUCUGUCGGAAUCUACCACCAGCAGCUGUCCUAUUGCAUUGUCCAGUUUGUCGAGAAGGACUACAAACUUGCCGAUGCGGUCAUCAGGGGUCUGCUCAAGUACUGGCCAGUCAUAAAUUGCCAGAAGGAGGUGCUGUUUUUGGGGGAGCUCGAGGAAGUGCUCGAGGCCACACAGCCUGCUGAGUUCCAGCGGUGCAUGGUGCCGCUGUUUAAGCAGAUAGGGCGCUGCCUUAACAGUGCCCAUUUCCAGUGUUUAUCCAGGUUUGAAUGUAAAUCUGCACCAUCUAGCUUAUGCCGAUCAGUUUGUUGGUGA
Molecule: ribosomal RNA, 507 nt
Filed under: Triticum aestivum (bread wheat)
Lineage: Eukaryota; Viridiplantae; Streptophyta; Magnoliopsida; Poales; Poaceae
Description: partial small subunit ribosomal RNA
Source: RNAcentral